RNAcentral lists this transfer-messenger RNA (369 nucleotides) under bacterium. It matches the Rfam family "transfer-messenger RNA". Rfam says of the family: Bacterial tmRNA, also known as 10Sa RNA or SsrA, is named for its dual tRNA and mRNA-like properties. Its role is to liberate the mRNA from a stalled ribosome. To accomplish this part of the tmRNA is used as a reading frame that ends in a translation stop signal. The record is from RNAcentral.
GGGGCUGACUGGAAUUGACGGGCAGAGCAACUGAGAUGUAAGCAUGUAGCGCUUUGUUUGCUGGCGCUCUAAUCUCAACAUUCAAAAUUUUAAGAGGCGACAAUAACUUCGCAAUGGCUGCUUAAUUUAGAAUUAAGUAAUGCUAUCCAUCUUCGGUGCCUUUGUUUGGGUCGGUGCCGUGUUAAGAUGGUCGACAGACCUGAAUAUCUACUAGGAGCGGUUGCGGCUUAAUAGAUUACACAGCAACAUAAGGUUUUGAAAUGGUAGGUGGUAAACCGUUCAACGCCCGAAAAUAAUUACUACUAAACAUGUAGAAAGCGUUAUCAUUUCCUGCUCCGGACCAGGGUUCGACUCCCUGCAGCUCCACAU